This 17-nucleotide transfer RNA is filed under the name Ichthyosaura alpestris (Alpine newt). Its description in RNAcentral is "partial tRNA-Leu". Lineage: Eukaryota; Metazoa; Chordata; Amphibia; Caudata; Salamandridae. The record is from RNAcentral.
CUUUUAAAGGAUAAUAG